GCGCGAAAACUCCGCAAUAUGUGAAAACAUGACGGGGUCAUCCCGAGUGCCAUCUGCUGAAGGUGGCUUUUGCUAAGUGUAAUGAUCUGAGUGAAUAAGGGGAGGGCAAGUCUGGUGUCAGCCGCCGCGGUAAUACCAGCUCCUCGAGUGGUUGGGACGAUUAUUGGGUCUAAAGCGUCCGUAGCCGGCCGGAAAAGUUCUCCGUUAAACCCAGCGAUCCAAUCGCUGGACUGCGGAGAAUACUACUCGGCUUGGGGGCGGGGGAAGUCGGCGGUAGUCCAGGGGUAGGGGCGAAAUCCUAUCAUCCUUGGAGGACCACCAGUGGCGAAGGCGGCCGACCAAAACGCGCCCGACGGUGAGGGACGAAAGCUGGGGGAGCGAACGGGAUUAGAUACCCCGGUAGUCCCAGCUGUAAACGAUGUGGGCUAGGUGUUGGGACGGGUACGGCCCGUCUCAGUGCCGCAGGGAAGCCGUUAAGCCCACCACCUGGGAAGUACGGUCGCAAGGCUGAAACUUAAAGGAAUUGGCGGGGGAGCACCACAAGGGGGUGAAGC
This 554-nucleotide ribosomal RNA is filed under the name uncultured archaeon. RNAcentral's name for it is "bacterial SSU rRNA". It matches the Rfam family "Archaeal small subunit ribosomal RNA", at positions 339 to 895 of the family's 1478-position model. The record is from RNAcentral.